GAUGAAGAACGUAGCGAAAUGCGAUAAGUAAUGUGAAUUGCAGAAUUCAGUGAAUCAUCGAGUCUUUGAACGCACAUUGCGCCCCCUGGUAUUCCGGGGGGCAUGCCUGUCCGAGCGUCAUUGCUGCCCUCAAGCACGGCUUGUGUGUUGGGCCCCGCCCCCCGGCUCCCGGGGGGCGGGCCCGAAAGGCAGCGGCGGCACCGCGUCCGGUCCUCGAGCGUAUGGGGCUUCGUCACCCGCUCCGUAGGCCCGGCCGGCGCCCGCCGGCGACCACCCUCAAUCUUUUCAGGUUGACCUCGGAUCAGGUAGGGAUACCCGCUGAACUUAAGCAUAUCAAUAAGCGGAGGA
Molecule: unclassified non-coding RNA, 348 nt
Filed under: soil metagenome
Description: partial contains 5.8S ribosomal RNA, internal transcribed spacer 2, and large subunit ribosomal RNA
Rfam family: 5.8S ribosomal RNA (bases 1-120)
Source: RNAcentral